UUCCAUGUUCUAUCAUGGAAACAUUAAGAUAUGGAAGGCAAAAUUUAACUAGGGCUGGGAAAGUGAGAUAAUUCCAAGGAUAAAGGUCUAGACCUUCAGUCACAAUUCGUGGGCCAGCACUGCCUCCACAGCCCUGUCAGAGGUAGAGGAGAGCUCCAGGGAACUCAGGGGACCCCAGCCCCAUGGGAUCCUCCUCGUGAAGGAUGCAGCAACUCAGGUGUGCGACUCUCCAACACGACAUUGUAGAAUAAUUCCUCUUGGGUUGAUUCAGAAGAAGGUGCCAUAUGCCCCCCGCGUGUCUCCAAGCAUGCUUUCCCAGCCUGGCUCUUGAUCAGCACCAAACUUCUAUCAUUUGCAGUCAGUAACAAAGAUUCAUCCUUGUGUCUGUCAAGCAACAAGGAGAAUCUUUGUCCCUUAGUGUAAUUAAUAGCCAUACCUCCUAUGGGAAGACAGAAGAAGAAUGCCCUUCAUACAGAGACUUGGAUUCAGAUCAGGCUUCAUGGGUCUUUGCUGCUUACUGACCAGUGGAAAUGCCAGAGGUCCAGCAAAGCGGGAAGUUGGUAAACAAAUGUUUCUUCUGGGGCCACGUGUGUUCCCACCUCCAAGCCCAAUAACUGUAGUCCAGGAGAGCUCUCGAACUUUUCCUAUUGAACCAGAUGGACUUGGAGGCUCCUCCACCAUGAAUGUCCUACACCCAGGCCUUGAAUCCUCCCCGCUGCCUGCCACCACGUUGUUUCCGUGGACCUCCAGACAGCUUCCAUGUAGGAGAAAAAAAUAAAAAUAGAAAUGAGAAACCA
Herpailurus yagouaroundi (jaguarundi) is the source of this 797-nucleotide long non-coding RNA. RefSeq lists it as uncharacterized. The transcript is spliced from 2 exons. NCBI's taxonomy places the organism in Eukaryota, Metazoa, Chordata, Mammalia, Carnivora, Felidae. The record is from RefSeq and is a predicted model, not a curated record.